Cricetulus griseus (Chinese hamster) is the source of this 71-nucleotide non-coding RNA. The record is from Rfam. Lineage: Eukaryota; Metazoa; Chordata; Mammalia; Rodentia; Cricetidae.
AGAGAUGGUUCAGUGGUUAAGAACACUGGUUGUUCUUCCAGAGGACCUGGGUUCAAUUCCCAGCACCUCUG